RNAcentral lists this long non-coding RNA (666 nucleotides) under Coturnix japonica (Japanese quail). Its description in RNAcentral is "lncRNA (ENSCJPG00005012591.1)". The record is from RNAcentral. Lineage: Eukaryota; Metazoa; Chordata; Aves; Galliformes; Phasianidae.
CUUUGAGACUUCACUUCUGUCACAGAGAGCUUGAAGCUAUAGAUUUAGCUUUCAAUACGUGGUUCCAGGAAGCCCUUUGGCGCUCUCACCUCUGGUUGAUUUUGCUGGCAAUCCAUACCAGCAACAUCUGACUUCUAAUUGGCUUUGAUGUCUCUUUCCACAGGCUUUCAGUUUUCUCUUUCCACAGGCUUUCAGUGUACCGCCUUAAAAAGACCAUUGUUCUAUAUGGAGGGUCUGGCAUGCCCAGGUUUACAGAGCCAGGUGGAAGUCAGAGGAAAACUGGACAGAAAGCAAGACUUGUUAUAUACCAGAUGUUUUUCUCUGAAUUAAAUUUUCCAAGGAGGGAGAGUGCAGUCCCCUUUCCAUCACCCUUCACUUCACUUCUUGAAAUGAAAGCACUCUCUGCAUGCUGGUGGAAGAGUUCAGCCCUGACACCAAGGCUAACAACUGGCUCUGGGCCAAGUUAUCAGGAAGUUUUACUCAGGAGUGUUAAUCUUCACAGGCUUGGUUUUAUAGUGAAUGAAUAGGCGUUUGCCACCUAACUGCUUUGUAGCUGUCACCCAUCUUGAACAAUGAACAGUGUAUCUGCUUUAACUGGAUGGAUGGUAAGUGAAUAUAAAUAGGACACAUCAUCCUUUGAAAAUAAAAUGACACUACAUUUUCUCA